UCUCCGUAGGUGAACCUGCGGAAGGAUCAUUCAUAAUAAGUGUUUUAUGGCACUUUUUUAAAUCCAUAUCCACCUUGUGUGCAAUGUCAGGGUUGGUCUCUUUUUGAUCAGCCCCAAACAUCAACUAUUAUCUCAACUCUUUGUCUGAAAAAUAUUAUGAAUAAAACAAUUCAAAAUACAACUUUCAACAACGGAUCUCUUGGCUCUC
This 208-nucleotide unclassified non-coding RNA is filed under the name plant metagenome. Its description in RNAcentral is "partial contains small subunit ribosomal RNA, internal transcribed spacer 1, and 5.8S ribosomal RNA". The record is from RNAcentral.